GACACCCAGAGGAAAGUCAAGGAAGGGCACUCAUGAAGCACUGUAGAAGAAUCUGCGUGGUCUAAGUACCACUCUAAAAGACAUCACCAAACAAAGGCAAAUGAGGCAUGAGAUUCUGCUGACGUCCUUUGGCUUCCUGUUCAGUGAGGUUGUGCUUGGCAUCCUCGGAUUUAGGCACAAUGUGAAUUUUCUUAGACUUCACCCUCCAGACCUCAUUUUGUUUCAUCAGCCCUUCCCUGCCUGUGAAUAAUGGUUGAGAUCGCAUCAUGCGGUGGCUGCGGGGAGGGAAGAUCCCCUCUGUUGCAGCCCUUUCGGUGGCAGCAGCGUGGGUGAGAUCAGAAAUUCGGUGUGAGUCUCUUCCCUCCCCGUGGAUCCCAGUGCAGAGAAGCCAGCAGCAGUCAAGAGAAGCCACCGUGUUUUUGUGUUGGUGGCUUUUUUAUGAAUGCAGGAAUUACCACAAUUGUAUGAAUAAUCCAUUCAUGAAAAUGAUGCUUGAAAAAGGAAAGUACUCUUCUAUUAUUCUUGAAAAUAGUUAACCCAGUUACUUUUUUUUUGCCUUUGCUGUGGUGGGACCUGG
This is a non-coding RNA of Taeniopygia guttata (zebra finch), 577 nucleotides long. Lineage: Eukaryota; Metazoa; Chordata; Aves; Passeriformes; Estrildidae. The record is from RefSeq and is a predicted model, not a curated record.